CCUGGCUUAGGACGAACGCUGGCGGCGUGCCUAACACAUGCAAGUCGAACGGAGUCAAGAAGCUUGCUUUUGACUUAGUGGCGGACGGGUGAGUAACGCGUGAGUAACCUGCCUCUGAGAGGGGAAUAACGUUCUGAAAAGAACGCUAAUACCGCAUAACGUAUUGAAGCCGCAUGACUUUGAUACCAAAGAUUUUAUCGCUCGGAGAUGGACUCGCGUCCGAUUAGUUAGUUGGUGAGGUAACGGCUCACCAAGACCGCGAUCGGUAGCCGGACUGAGAGGUUGAUCGGCCACAUUGGGACUGAGACACGGCCCGGACUCCUACGGGAGGCAGCAGUGGGGGAUAUUGCGCAAUGGGGGCAACCCUGAACCGCAGCAACGCCGCGUGAAGGAUGAAGGUUUUCGGAUUGUAAACUUCUUUUAUCAGGGACGAAAUCUGACGGUACCUGAUGAAUAAGCUCCGGCUAACUACGUGCCAGCAGCAGC
Molecule: ribosomal RNA, 486 nt
Filed under: uncultured bacterium
Lineage: Bacteria
Description: bacterial SSU rRNA
Rfam family: Bacterial small subunit ribosomal RNA
Source: RNAcentral